This 500-nucleotide ribosomal RNA is filed under the name uncultured bacterium. RNAcentral describes it as "partial 16S ribosomal RNA". It matches the Rfam family "Bacterial small subunit ribosomal RNA", at positions 30 to 523 of the family's 1533-position model. The record is from RNAcentral.
AUUGAACGCUGGCGGAAUGCUUUACACAUGCAAGUCGAACGGCAGCACGGGGGCAACCCUGGUGGCGAGUGGCGAACGGGUGAGUAAUACAUCGGAACGUGCCCAGUCGUGGGGGAUAACGUAGCGAAAGUUACGCUAAUACCGCAUACGAUCUACGGAUGAAAGCGGGGGACCGUAAGGCCUCGCGCGAUUGGAGCGGCCGAUGUCAGAUUAGGUAGUUGGUUAGGUAAUGGCGCACCAAGCCGACGAUCUGUAGCUGGGUUGAGAGGACGCACAGCCACUCUGGGACUGAGACUCGGCCCAGACUCCUACGGGAGGCAGCAUUGGGAAAUUUUGGACAAUGGGCGCAAGCCUGAUCCAGCCAUUCCGCGUGCAGGACGAAGGCCUUCGGGUUGUAAACUGCUUUUGUACGGAACGAAAAGGCUCUGGUUAAUACCUGGGGCUCAUGACGGUACCGUAAGAAUAAGCACCGGCUAACUACGUGCCAGCCGCCGCCGUAA